This 1065-nucleotide ribosomal RNA is filed under the name Escherichia coli. RNAcentral describes it as "partial 23S ribosomal RNA". It matches the Rfam family "Bacterial large subunit ribosomal RNA", at positions 130 to 1238 of the family's 2925-position model. Lineage: Bacteria; Pseudomonadati; Pseudomonadota; Gammaproteobacteria; Enterobacterales; Enterobacteriaceae. The record is from RNAcentral.
AGUGUGUUUCGACACACUAUCAUUAACUGAAUCCAUAGGUUAAUGAGGCGAACCGGGGGAACUGAAACAUCUAAGUACCCCGAGGAAAAGAAAUCAACCGAGAUUCCCCCAGUAGCGGCGAGCGAACGGGGAGGAGCCCAGAGCCUGAAUCAGUGUGUGUGUUAGUGGAAGCGUCUGGAAAGGCGCGCGAUACAGGGUGACAGCCCCGUACACAAAAAUGCACAUAUUGUGAGCUCGAUGAGUAGGGCGGGACACGUGGUAUCCUGUCUGAAUAUGGGGGGACCAUCCUCCAAGGCUAAAUACUCCUGACUGACCGAUAGUGAACCAGUACCGUGAGGGAAAGGCGAAAAGAACCCCGGCGAGGGGAGUGAAAAAGAACCUGAAACCGUGUACGUACAAGCAGUGGGAGCCUCUUAAUGGGGUGACUGCGUACCUUUUGUAUAAUGGGUCAGCGACUUAUAUUCUGUAGCAAGGUUAACCGAAUAGGGGAGCCGAAGGGAAACCGAGUCUUAACUGGGCGUUAAGUUGCAGGGUAUAGACCCGAAACCCGGUGAUCUAGCCAUGGGCAGGUUGAAGGUUGGGUAACACUAACUGGAGGACCGAACCGACUAAUGUUGAAAAAUUAGCGGAUGACUUGUGGCUGGGGGUGAAAGGCCAAUCAAACCGGGAGAUAGCUGGUUCUCCCCGAAAGCUAUUUAGGUAGCGCCUCGUGAAUUCAUCUCCGGGGGUAGAGCACUGUUUCGGCAAGGGGGUCAUCCCGACUUACCAACCCGAUGCAAACUGCGAAUACCGGAGAAUGUUAUCACGGGAGACACACGGCGGGUGCUAACGUCCGUCGUGAAGAGGGAAACAACCCAGACCGCCAGCUAAGGUCCCAAAGUCAUGGUUAAGUGGGAAACGAUGUGGGAAGGCCCAGACAGCCAGGAUGUUGGCUUAGAAGCAGCCAUCAUUUAAAGAAAGCGUAAUAGCUCACUGGUCGAGUCGGCCUGCGCGGAAGAUGUAACGGGGCUAAACCAUGCACCGAAGCUGCGGCAGCGACACUAUGUGUUGUUGGGUAGGGGAGCG